UACGUAUGGGGCAAGCGUUAUCCGGAUUUACUGGGUGUAAAGGGAGCGUAGACGGCAGAGCAAGUCUGAAGUGAAAGCCCGCGGCCCAACUGCGGGACUGCUUUGGAAACUGCCCGGCUAGAGUGCUGGAGAGGUAAGCGGAAUUCCUAGUGUAGCGGUGAAAUGCGUAGAUAUUAGGAGGAACACCAGUGGCGAAGGCGGCUUACUGGACAGUAACUGACGUUGAGGCUCGAAAGCGUGGGGAGCAAACAGG
RNAcentral lists this ribosomal RNA (253 nucleotides) under uncultured bacterium. RNAcentral's name for it is "partial 16S ribosomal RNA". It matches the Rfam family "Bacterial small subunit ribosomal RNA", at positions 524 to 776 of the family's 1533-position model. The record is from RNAcentral.